CACAUAUUCAUGUGUGUCUUCUUGGGAAGUUGAUUCUUCUUCCGGUGUGCCGAUGACAACAGCCAUGGGCAACAGGACCUCUUUUCCAAAAACCAUUUUGUUUGGUGUGAGCCCAGUGCUGGCGUGAGGUGAAGACCUGAAGUGGUCCAGUAACAUCCACGCAGACCUUCUCCAUUGCGUUGUAUACUGGAUUUUGCCCUAGUGGAGCCCUGACCUUGGGUGCUGGUUUCCGAGAAGCACACACAUCACAUUGGUGGAUGUACUUUUGAAGGUCAUCUUUCAACGCUGGCCAAUAACAACACUGCAGAAUACGAAAGAGGCAUUUUUCUAAACCAAGGUGGCCCGCUGAAGUCUGGAUUACACCCGAGACGAGCUGCACAGGCUGAUUUUGAGCGACUGGUUCAACUAAGGCUACUGGUGACAAGUGUUCCUGACUAGGGAUUUUUACAGACACCCACAUGCUGCUAUGUGCCGUUGAGUUGCUUGAUGGCUGCUGCUGGGCCUUUUUUUGUGCCAUCAACGAAGACCCUACUGGGUUGACGGCCUGCCGUUUUCCGGUAAACCUACGACAGUCGGCUGUGUGUACGGUGCCUGGUGAGGUGCUGGAUACCCCAUCCUCUGUGGUGCCUGAUAACCCAUUGAACGCUGGCUGUUGUAGGCUGGUCGCUGACGCGUGGGGCAGUCUCGAAUCAUAUGUUGUUGCGACUGACAGUUAUAGCACA
This is a long non-coding RNA of Dreissena polymorpha, 722 nucleotides long. RefSeq lists it as uncharacterized. NCBI's taxonomy places the organism in Eukaryota, Metazoa, Mollusca, Bivalvia, Myida, Dreissenidae. The record is from RefSeq and is a predicted model, not a curated record. The transcript is spliced from 4 exons.